Molecule: long non-coding RNA, 2242 nt
Organism: Nerophis ophidion (straightnose pipefish)
Lineage: Eukaryota; Metazoa; Chordata; Actinopteri; Syngnathiformes; Syngnathidae
Exons: 2
Source: RefSeq, a predicted model, not a curated record
GCACGGGAGCCAGAGUGCGGCCCCAGCCGCCCAGAGAGCCCAACCCAAACAGCAGGUGUGGCGCCCAGGGAACCAGGGACUACCGGCCCCACGCAGCCAGGCCGGCCAGCGGAACUAACUUGAACGUCAACACUUUGCAUUUUGAUAUCCAGAAAAACAUGUACGCAAGGUUGGUUAAACUCUUUCAAUUCAGCUUCAAUGGUUACAAAAACAAUUAGGAAAACCUGGAUGCUAUGUUUGCCAAAGGCCUUAAAUUGGCUUUAGUGUUUAUAAAAAAACACAACAGUAUACUGAGCAUUCUAAAUGUGGUUGGGUUAGUGGAAAAACAACAAAAUCCGCUUUCACAAGUUCGUCGGAAGCCACUCUGACAGAAAUCAAUGAACGGGCGCUGGAAGCCGGCAGACCCGUCAGCGAUCCUGUUCUGUCUCCCUGUAAUGUUUGUCUGAUCUUGAAUGGGAUUGUGCUGAAAAUUGUAAUUUUCCUGAAGGAACUCUCCUGACGGAAUAAAUAAAGUACUAUCUAAUCUAUCUAAUCUAAAAUACUUUCUAUCUGCGUAAGUGUUUAUGAAAACAUUUAAUCAAAGACCCUUAAUUAUAUCCAUCCAUCCAUUUUAUACCGCUUGUCCCUUUUGGGGUCGCUGGAGCCUAUCUCAGUUGCAUUCGGGCGGUAGGAGGGGUACACCCUGGACAAGUGGCCACCUCAUCGCAAGGCCAACAAUGUUCACAAAAAAGGUGUAUGUUAAGUUCAAGGAAAGGCUUAAAUUUGUCUUUCCCGUAAGCGAAAACCAAAACAUUUGUCUUUGACAGUUACGCAUAUGUUGUGUUUUGUUGAAAGUUCGUACAAAAUUGACUGUGUUUACAAGUGAGAUUUAAACCCAGAGAGAAUCCCUAUGACCUCAGAGGUUUAGCUUUCUUUCAGAAAGCAAAAAAUAAGAACAAGCUUAAAAAGUAGAUGUGUUUCUGUUAGAGGAGUUCAACUGUGGAACAUCUUGGAUGAUUCCUUAAAAUGUUCCAGUUCCAUUCGCACAUUUAAAAAACACUUUAAGACCAAUGUCUUGAAAAAAUAUAUCACUCUUGAAUCAACAUCUGCGUUCAAAAGACUCCGGCUUAUUAGUGAUUCCUAGAGCUCAAAAAAAGUCUGCGGGCUAUAGAGCGUUUUCCGUUCGGGCUCCAGUACUCUGGAAUGCCCUCCCGGUAACAGUUCGAGAUGCUACCUCAGUAGAAGCAUUUAAGUCUCAUCUUAAAACUCAUCUGUAUACUCUAGCCUUUAAAUAGACCUCCUUUUUAGACCAGUUGAUCUGCCGCUUCUUUUCUUUCUCCUAUGUCCCCCCCUCCCUUGUGGAGGGGGUCCGGUCCGAUGACCAUGGAUGAAGUACUGACUGUCCAGAGUCGAGACCCAGGAUGGACCGCUCGUCGGGACCCAGGAUGGACCGCUCGCCUGUAUCGGUUGGGGACAUCUCUACGCUGCUGAUCCGCUUGAGAUGGUUUCCUGUGGACGGGACUCUCACUGCUGUCUUGGAGCCACUAUGGAUUGAACUUUCACAGUAUCAUGUUAGACCCGCUCGACAUCCAUUGCUUUCGGUCCCCUAGAGGGGGGGGGGUUGCCCACAUCUGAGGUCCUCUCCAAGGUUUCUCAUAGUCAGCAUUGUCACUGGCGUCCCACUGGAUGUGAAUUCUCCCUGCCCCCUGGGUGUGAGUUUUCCUUGCCCUUUUGUGGGUUCUUCCGAGGAUGUUGUAGUCGUAAUGAUUUGUGCACUCCUUUGAGACAUUUGUGAUUUGGGGCUAUAUAAAUAAACAUUGAUUGAUUGAUGGUAGUUAAUACUAUGAUUAAUGUUAAUUAAAAACUAAACAUGAGAUAUAAAUAAUAAUAGAAGUACAAUUUUUUGUAUAUAUUGUACAUAUAAUUAGUGCAAAGGUUUAAUAUGUACACAGGGAUAUUUCACAUGCCCGUACUGUGUAUAAAAUUGAACUACGUUCAUGUUGUUUAUAAUGUGUAUUUAUAAUAAGUUGUGCAAAGGACAUUUUAUAAUUUUCGGAAGUUUAUUUUGUACUUGAAAUUUUUUAUAGGGUUAGGCGCAAUAAGUGUUUAACUUCAGCCUAAACCCUUUCGGUCUGCAACAUUUUUUUAUUUUCAAUCUAUGAAUGUAAAACUUUUUAUUUUCAAUCUGUGAAUGUACGACUGUUUGUUUGCUUUGUUGACCAUUGACCGAAGAACAAUAAACACACUUUGGCCUUAAUGAAAA